CAAGUCGAGGGGUACAUAAGUGCUUGCACUUGAUGACGACCGGCGCACGGGUGCGUAACGCGUAUAGAAUCUACCUUAUACUAGGGGAUAGCCUUUGGAAACGAAGAUUAAUACCCUAUAGUAAGUACUUAUGGCAUCAUUUAUACUUUAAAGGUUACGGUAUAAGAUGACUAUGCGUCCUAUUAGUUUGUUGGUGAGGUAACGGCUCACCAAGACUUCGAUAGGUAGGGGCCCUGAGAGGGGGAUCCCCCACACUGGUACUGAGACACGGACCAGACUCCUACGGGAGGCAGCAGUGAGGAAUAUUGGACAAUGGAGGAAACUCUGAUCCAGCCAUGCCGCGUGCAGGAUGACGGCCCUAUGGGUUGUAAACUGCUUUUAUGUAGGAAGAAACACUCUCACGUGUGAGAGCUUGACGGUACUACAAGAAUAAGGACCGGCUAACUCCGUGCCAGCAGCCGCGGUAAUACGGAGGGUCCAAGCGUUAUCCGGAAUCAUUGGGUUUAAAGGGUCCGUAGGCGGGCUAUUAAGUCAGAGGUGAAAGUUUGCAGCUCAACUGUAAAAUUGCCUUUGAAACUGGUAGUCUUGAAUUAUUAUGAAGUGGUUAGAAUAAGUAGUGUAGCGGUGAAAUGCAUAGAUAUUACUUAGAAUACCAAUUGCGAAGGCAGAUCACUAAUAAUAUAUUGACGCUGAGGGACGAAAGCGUGGGGAGCGAACAGG
This 720-nucleotide ribosomal RNA is filed under the name uncultured bacterium. RNAcentral's name for it is "bacterial SSU rRNA". It matches the Rfam family "Bacterial small subunit ribosomal RNA", at positions 58 to 776 of the family's 1533-position model. The record is from RNAcentral.